AUUAAAUUGAUAUUAUAUAUUUAUUAUUUAUUAAAAUUAUUUUUUUUCUUUUUAGUGUUUUUAGAAAUAAUUUAUUUAAUUAUUACUGACAAGGUAGAUUAUUAAAUUUUUAUUAGAUUUUGUUAGUACCUUUGGUAUCAGGGUAAAUUAAGUAUUUUAAGAAUUUUAUAUUCCCGAAUUUAAAAGGUCAAUAAUUUUAUUUAGGUUUAAUUGUUUAAUAAAUUUUGUUAAUGAAGUUAUAGUAGCUACAUGUUAAUCGAUUUUAGUUUAUCUGGUUACUAAGGAAUUUGAUUUAAUCAAUCAUUAUUAAAUUUUAAGUAAAUAUUUUUAUUGAUAGUGAAAAGUUAUUAGGGACAAUCUUGAUAAUUUGUACUAAAAUUUAAUUUUUAUGAAGUUUAUUAACUUUAAAAUUUUGUAUUAAGUUUAUAAUAAAAUUCCUUCUUUAAUUUUUAUUUGUUAAAAUUUAGUUUAUUACUUAGUUUUUUAAUAUAAUUUAAUUAUUAUUUUAAUAAUGAUUUAAUUAGUAUAAUUUAAAGAUUAAAUAUUAUGAACUCGACAAUUUUUAUUUCCAACUGUUUAACAAAAACAUUUCUUUUAGCAUAUAUUAAAAGUAUUUCCUGCCCUAUGGUUUUAUUUAAAUGGCUGCAGUAUUUUGACUGUGCAAAGGUAGCAUAGUAAUUAGUUUCUUAAUUAGGAACUUGUAUGAAUGGAUGAAUGAGAUAUAGGUUUUAUUUAUUUAAAAGUUAAAAUUUUAAUUUUAAGUAAAAAUGCUUAAGAUUUUUCUUGGGACGAUAAGACCCUAUAGAACUUUAUAUUUGCUUAAUAAAUUGUUUUUAAUUUUUAUAUAUAAUUUUUUAUUUAAAUGUUUUGCUGGGGUGGUUAAUAAAUUUUAACUUUAUUUUUUUAUUUCAUUGUUAGUUGUUUUUAUUGAUCCUAAUGGAUUAUAAGAAUAAGUUACCUUAGGGAUAACAGCGUAAUUUUAGUGGGGAGUUCAUAUCUAUACUGAUUUUGCGACCUCGAUGUUGAAUUAAGAAAAAACUAAGAAGCAGAAUUCUUAGAUUUAAGUCUGUUCGACUUUUAAAUUCUUACAUGAUUUGAGUUCAAACCGGCGUGAGCCAGGUUGGUUUCUAUCUUAGAAGUUGUUGAAUUAUUUAGUACGAAAGGACCAAUAAUUUAUACUUAGGUGUUUAAAUUAAUUAAC
Molecule: ribosomal RNA, 1201 nt
Filed under: Aconurella diplachnis
Lineage: Eukaryota; Metazoa; Arthropoda; Insecta; Hemiptera; Cicadellidae
Description: 16S ribosomal RNA
Source: RNAcentral